UUUCAGUUAUGAUUACUCCUCUUUCAACAUUUCUUUUUCAAGUAUGUAUUUUCCUUUUCAUUGUUAUUUCCCUUUCAUUUAUUAUUUAUUUAAAAAAAAACAAAAAAAAAAUAUUUAUAAUAUAUAUUUAUUUUAAAGUUAAGUCCCUAUUGUGAAUUUUUUUUAUUAUCUAUUCCCCUCAAUUUUCUUGAGCCAUUCAACACACUCAAAAAGUAUAAAGGUUGCCUAUUUUAUCAAACUUGAGUAAAAUUAAG
This 254-nucleotide long non-coding RNA is filed under the name Lathyrus oleraceus (garden pea). RNAcentral's name for it is "Pisum sativum (pea) long non-coding RNA (PSAT_LNC015410)". Lineage: Eukaryota; Viridiplantae; Streptophyta; Magnoliopsida; Fabales; Fabaceae. The record is from RNAcentral.